GAUGAACGCUGGCGGCGUGCCUAAUACAUGCAAGUCGAGCGAACAGACGAGGAGCUUGCUCCUCUGACGUUAGCGGCGGACGGGUGAGUAACACGUGGAUAACCUACCUAUAAGACUGGGAUAACUUCGGGAAACCGGAGCUAAUACCGGAUAACAUGUUGAACCGCAUGGUUCAACAGUGAAAGACGGUCUUGCGGUCACUUAUAGAUGGAUCCGCGCCGCAUUAGCUAGUUGUUAAGGUAACGGCUUACCAAGGCAACGAUGCGUAGCCGACGUGAGAGGGGGGUCGGCCACCCGGGAAGUGGGACAGGGUCAAGACGCCUAAGGGACGCAGCAGUAGGGAAUCUGACGCAAUGGGCGAGAGCAUGACGGAGCAACGCCGCGUGAGUGACGAAGGUCUUCGGAUCGUAAAACUCUGUUAUUAGUGAAGAACAAAUGUGUCAGUAACUAUGCACGUCUUGACGGUACCUAGUCAGAAAGCAACGGCUAACUACGUG
RNAcentral lists this ribosomal RNA (497 nucleotides) under uncultured bacterium. Its description in RNAcentral is "partial 16S ribosomal RNA". It matches the Rfam family "Bacterial small subunit ribosomal RNA", at positions 28 to 507 of the family's 1533-position model. The record is from RNAcentral.